Bombus huntii is the source of this 15529-nucleotide long non-coding RNA. RefSeq lists it as uncharacterized. The record is from RefSeq and is a predicted model, not a curated record. The transcript has 11 exons. NCBI's taxonomy places the organism in Eukaryota, Metazoa, Arthropoda, Insecta, Hymenoptera, Apidae.
UUAUGGAUCGAUGAACUCCAUUGUAACAACGCACCUUCGAAUUGCAUCGGAAACGCUUCUGUAUUGCGUCCACCGUAUAACCUAUCAUCGUCUGUUUAGGGUAAAUCAGUGGAUCGGAAGUUACGUUUCUAUGUUUCUCGCCUGUCAGUAUAACACUGUGCAAGAGAUACAGCAAGAUCCUAAAAUCAUUCGAGUACAAGUAGCGUAAAAUGGUCGUUUAAAUUUCAAUAAAUUAACUAUUCAUACGUUAAUUGUACGCGGUCAGGAUUAAGGGGUACGGCGAUGGAGAAGAUUUUGUUAGCUAGAUGUUGAGUAAAUAAUCGAAGAUGAUAAUUUUAUAAAUGUUUCGUAUUUAUGAUGAUGGAAAAGAUUUAAUUUGAGUUACGUUACGUUUGAAUAAGAUAGACUUUUCCAAGAGUGGAGGAUUUGUAGAGAUAGUGGACGUAAUAGUAGUAUGAUUUAAUACUUGAUGUGUCUUUUUUUUCUUUGACAUAUAGGUCACUGUGGGGAGUAAUAUUGAUCUAGAUAUAACUAUCUUUUCUGAGAAGUACGUAUAUGCUUAUGGGAACUAUGUUUGGUUAAUCAAUAGAGCCAUUCUUUUGAGAAAUUGAAUCUAGAAGAAUUCGACGAUAUUUUGCCUUGUUUCAAUAGUACAUCAUUUUAAAGAAACGCCUGCGAUUAUAGUAUAUAAUUGCACAUAGGUAUAUGCAAAAUUGCAUUUUCAAAUAAUUAAAUCAAAAAUAUAGGAAUGUAUCAAUGGGAAGAAUAUUUGUUAAAGAUCUUUCCUUUUUAAUCAAAUUCGUCCAACAACCCCAUUCUCGUCAAACAUAAAAUGAACGGUGCCUUUCUCAAAGAAACAAGAAGAAAAUUGCUGUCGUUCUAAAGUUCUUCUCCAUUGCUAAACUACCGUUCGUGUUUCUAGUUACGCUCCAAUUAUUCGAUUGUAAGAAGCAAGCAAUCCCUCCAUCCAAGCGCUAGAUAUAGUUUCUCGAGUAGUUCUCUUCAAUACCGUUAUAUCGAUGAACUCUUUUUGAAUAAAGUUCACAUUUAUAAAGCAAACACAAUAAAAUACGACAGGACAAUUGUAAUCGAUAAAUAACAUUUUAUUAGGAUAUUAUAAGAAGCUAAGAUAUCGAGUUCUAAUUGUGAAUAUCAAGCGCUCGUCGUUCGAGGAGAUUACCAAUAUUUUCUUCCUUAACAAUAUUAAUUACGAAGUUUCGAUACCGUUUAUGACAUUAAGAUCUCUUGAUAAAGUUGUAUCGUUAAAAUCUUACUGUUCCUAGGGAAAAUAUAUAGUUAAUAUAUAUAGUUAAAUAUAUAUAGUUAAAACCGGAAUAUAUAUAGUUAAAACUUCCAGAGGAGCAUCUCGCAGACAAAUUAUUGAUUGUUAGUGGAAAAUAUAUAGUUAAUAUAUAUAGUUAAAUAUAUGUCGGAGAUGAAAGGACACCGGAACCGUGGGAUAGCCCCGCAACAUUGCAAUCUAAAGUCUACUAUAACUGUAACUAAACUAUUGUAUUUAUUCAAUCCGAUUGUAAUUGUUCGAGAUUAGUGACGGUGAGCUUUGGCUCGAGGUGACAGUCUGUCGCCCAACGUAGCCGCGGUCAAGGGAUGAACGCUUUGCCUAACAAAGGUAUGGAGUAAUUCUAUAGUUCUCCUUAAAAGAAAUAUUCGUGGCGACACGCGACAGUAAACAUUCCAACGGUUUCUGUCCCGUGGCUCGCCACACGCAGACCCUAUUCUUCGAGUAAGAUGAUUGCCAGAUGUCGAUGCGUCUCCGCAGUACAUGUUCGGCUAGCCCGAGGGCCCGUUAUAAAUCUUAAGGUUUAGUUAACUAAAGUCCUUCAAACAGACAAACAGUCUUUGUCCCAACUACGGGAAGAUAGGGGAGACAUAUUUUUCAACGAGCGGCGUCUCCCACUAGCAACUUUCCCUCGAGGGCGGCUAGCAUCUUUUUCUAACCACCGAUAUGGAGAUUGACCAAUUAGCAGCAACGUCAAUUUCCCUUACUUCCUAAACGAAGGCUUUCCUCGACGAAUCCGAUGAUCUCGUGUCCUUAGACACACCCCAUUAUAGUUUUCCUCUGUGGCAUCAUCGGGACGGGACGGGCAUUCUUUUACGCGCUCCCGUCGACCAAAGAGUAACGUCUUUACGCUCAGCAAUUAUUUUUACGAGUCAGACUUAGAUUCAGCGAGAACGCCCAUCUGUCAUCCCGUUGGCCGCGGAUUCGUUAUUGAACCGGAGACCACUGUCACUAGUGUCGCGGACGUCUCACCGCCGUGGUAGAUUGUCAAACCUGUGUUAUUCAUACCUGUGUCAAUAAAUCGUAUCUUCGUUACACCGCAAAGAUGGCUACCUUCAAUGAAGACUCCUCAAACACCGACAACCCUAUCCCCAAUGUCAUUCCGACAUAUAUAUCCACCGAAAAUGCGCUCUUGUAGACAAACGCUCGAUUCGCGUCAUAGCUUUUAAAGCUUGUCGCAUCUCAAUCCGUUGGAAAAAGUUUUUCCUGUAGCAUAUUUUAUUUUUACGAACCAACAAGGUCUUUGUUUAUUUCCUUCUUUUUUUGCUCCAAUUUCCCCAUUGUUUUUUCAAGGAUAGUAUUUCAGAGCCACUAGUCAAGUUUAUUGUAACAAUAAACGUACGUUUCGGAAACAUUUUGUGCUGUGAAACAGAAUACACUAAAGUUUGAAGGUCACAUCGAUUUUCGAAAGUUUAUAAAUGGAGGUGUAUGACAGUAUCACCAGCUGUUGCUGUCCCCAAGCGCCAAAAUACGUUCUGACUACUAUUUUAUGUAUCUCACAGAAGUAUGUCUUCAUUCAUCAUCUCCCAUGCCAUCCGCCAACGUGUUCUUAACAUGUUAUCUCCUAGUAAAAUAUUGAUGUUGAGUCAGAUAUCCAACUGAAUAAUCUUUUCGGUGUCUACUAUAAGACAUUUAAAACCAAGGCUCGUACACACGUGUGCUUAUACGUCAGAUGUAAUACUUAACACGAAACCUGCUUAUAUUAAUAUUAAAUUUAUGCAUAGUAGGAUGUUCGACCUUUGUAAAAAUGAAAUUAUAAUACAUACGGUUUCACCGUGGAAAAGUGAAUCUUUCUAGCAUGUCCACGCAAAUGCAGGGGAGGGGAGGACUGUGCAUGCACCAAACAACUUUACGUUCGUAAUUUUUCACACAAAUGUACAACUGUAGGGAAAAAAUUAUCUCUGAUUUUUCGGAUGUUAGGAAUCGAUAAUAUCGCAUAACGGAAUGCUGUGUUCUACGUAUUCUAUUUUUGUUACGAAAGUGGUACAAACGAAGUCCACAUAAGAAUAGUACAACAAAAUCGGUUGAGGUUAGGUUAUCGUGCAGAUAUCGCGGCUUUUGCAUUGGAAAUCACGCAACUGCCAGUCUCGUCGUUCCUUGUAAACGAAAGAAAGGUAUUGUAAUCGGUCGGAAUUAACAUAAAACUCGUCGCAUGCGACCAUAUGGCCUGAAUGUUGAAUAAACGAGAGUAGAACGCGAGCUAUGUGAUUCUAACCGUUUAGGCGGAAACUAAUGAUUGUAACCAGAGCCGAGAUAUAUGCCAAUAUUACUUUGCUCGACAAAGCGUAUAAGAUGAGGAGAGAAUCGCGAUAAGGUAGAACAAGAGACAGAUAUUCUCUAGUCUGUCAACUAGAUUGAAAUCCUAUAGCUAUAACUACAGUGAAUCCAUAUUCUGGCGAAUUGUCUUUUCACAAAUGAAGCUUCUGAAGGACGGAAUUGAUACAAUAACUACUGUUCAUUCAUAACUACUGUUGUAAGAAUCUAUAUAUUUGUCUAUCUAUAUCUAUAUAUAUAUCGAUCUAUAUAUAUUUGUCAGAAUGUCAUUUUAUCAAAAAACCCAUCCUCUGUAAUCAUAGUUUAACGAAGCAUAAUUAAUAGAAGAGGUAGAGCGUUAAGUGGAGAUGAUUUAAUCACAGUUAAGUAGAUAAAUCUUUAUAUUAGUCUCUUUAAUUAAAAUGUCCUACGUUUUAUUUGCAUCAUUUUUUUUCUUCGUCCAAUUUAAAAUAUUUAAAUAACAAUAGCCUAUACAAUAUAAUUUUAUGUAAAAAAAUUGAUUAUACCAUGUUUAUUACAGAUAUUUAACAUUUUUGUGUACACACAAAAUUUAAAUUAUACCUCGCUUGAGAACAAAAAUUCUAUUUGUUUUCUUAACAUGUACUAAUAAUUAUUGAUCAAACUAGAAAAAGCUGGAGGAGAUUACUUAGGAAGAUUACUUAGCAUCUUAUAUUCUUGGCAAGGCUCGAACGUUUUAUCUUCCUUUAGAUUUUCCUAUGUUUCCAUUUCUCUGACUUGCUAUUUUAGUUAGCUUAGUAUACGUGCUAUACAUAGGUAUGUAUAGUGUCAUGAUCGCGACAGUCGUGAGUUACCCACGCUUUAUCCUCUGUAAAUUAAACUAUUUAUAAAAGAAGAACAAAUUACAUGUUAGAACUUUCAUUCAAUUUACCAAUACAAAUAAUUUUAAACAAGAAAAAAGACCUAAUGCAGUGGUUUCAACUUAAACAUAUCCAACAGUUAUUUACGAAUAAAUAGUAUAAAUCUUUUAGCAACAUGAAAUUCGCGAUAUUUAUUCAAAUAUUUAUAUUUACAGUGCGCCAUCAGCAAAGAAAACGUGUUUAUCGAAACGUGCGCUAUCGAUUUUAUGCUUUUGCCACGCAAACAGGGAAAUUGCAACUCAAAAUUGAAUUCGCACUGCAAAGCGUUGACGUUACGACAUCAAUUACAUACUUCAAAAACACCGAAGGUAUCACACGGAAUCAGAGAGAUUCUAUGAGAAGUUAAACGCAUAGUCACCCUAUUGGGAAUAGGAUUGCUUUGAUUCGAGCUCAAACAUAGGGAAAGCUGAAAGAAUCUUUUGCGGAUCUUCCUUCUUCUCUACGUUGGAUUUUAUACAAAACGACUUUAACCUUUUCAAGGAAAUACGGAAAUAAGGAUUUUAGAUAGAGAGAUUUAUCUGGAAGGAAAUGGAUAGAAAACGUAGAACCAGUUCUUGUUGGUUGAAAGAUUUUUUCUCUUCGCAGAGAUUCAAGCUUUAAAGAACGAUCAAAUAUGUGCGCAGCUGACUUACGCGUGAAGUUAUUAUUAAAAAAAAUUGUUGCAUUUAAAAGGAUAAAUAUUAAUAUAAAUUUAAAAAAAUUGUUUGUUCAAUUAUCAUAAGUUUAAUUUAAAUUUAAAAAAAUUGUUAGUUCAAUUAUCAUAAGUUUAAAGAUAUGUAGAUAUUGUAUUUACAUAUCGAAAAUCAGACAGCAAUAUUAAUUAACACACCUAGUCAAACGCACACGUACUUUAAAACCGUGCUUUAAAAUCGAUAUUCGCUGAAACAAUACAUCGCUCUGCGCUUCCAAUUUGUUUUCGCACGAAGAAUCAGUCCACUCAUUGUUACCGUCACCAUCUCUACCGUAAUCUAUAUUACUCGAAUAAAUUCUAUAUCUUGAUUGGAAAAUCACAUAUUUUAACGAACUUCCUUAUUUUUUGUUUUUUAUGACUUUAAUUGGCAAUUUCCAUAAUGUUCUAUAACUUGACAAUAGACUGAUAAUAUUUCAGGAUAUAUAUACAUACAUCAUGUUUUUGAGGAUUCUGUAGUAAAAUAAUUAUAGUUGGGGAGUCCAACUUCCCAAACCGCGACAAACAUAUUUCACACAUCCACGACGACUUUAUAAGCAGACCCCUCGCGGUUUUGGGAAAUCGAUGAAGGACCCUCAAUUAAACAUAUCUCAGAGGGCAGAUCGACGAUGCGAAGAACACUUCCAAGCCCACACCCGACGCACCAGCGAAGGACGAUACAUCGUCGCUCUACCUUUCAACGAUCAGCUUCAGUCACUCGGAUCCUCUAAAACGCUGGCAAUUAAACGACUCGCCUCACUCAAUCGCCGAUCCCAGCACGACAAACGCUUCGAAUCAGAAUAUCGAACGGUAAUACAGGAAUACCUGGCAUUGGGACACAUGACGAAGGUCAAUGUCAACCACUCCGACGACAACGGAUACUAUUUACCCCAUCAUGGCGUGACCAAAGCAUCGAGUCAAACCACCAAACUCCGAGUAGUUUUCGACGGAUCGGCACCAAGCACUACCGGAACCUCCCUAAACGAUACACUUUACACAGGACCCAAGUUACAGGAAGAUUUAUUUUGUAUAUUAAUUAGAUUCCGCGCUCAUCAGUACGUACUCACUGGCGACAUCGAGAAAAUGUAUCGGCAAUUCCUCGUACGACCAGAGGAUCGGAAAUAUCAAAGGAUAGUAUGGCGCAGCGCGAGUGGAGAAACAGAAACAUAUGAGCUUAACACCGUAUACUCUUAUCAUAGAAAUAGAAGCAGUCCUCAAUUCCCGCCCGCUAACUCCUAUCUCCACCGAUCCAAAUGAUCUCCUAGCCCUCACUCCCGGACAUUUCCUCAUUGGCGAUUCAUUAAUGUGCUUACGUGAUCGAGAUUUCAGAGACAUUCCAUCGAACCGACUCUCCAAAUGGCAGCAUAUCCAACAGCUUAAACAACAUUUUUGGAACCGCUGGCAUAAGGAGUAUUUGAACGAGCUAACCAAACGCAAUAAAUGGAGCAAGGGUGGACACAGCAUCCAAAAGGGCACAAUCGUCAUCCUCAGAGAGGACAACGUUCCCUCCAUGCAUUGGCCUCUGGGCCGAGUUAUCAAGGUUCAUCCAGGCGCCGAUGGUGUCAUCCGGACAGCUACAGUUCAGACGGCAAAGAGCAUUUUGGAUCGGGGCGUCAAAAGGCUUGUCCCACUGCCAAUUCAACCCGAUCUCGAGAAACCCGAACAACUAGCCACCGAGACGAAAUAAGAUGGGAACUUCAACCACACCUCCCUAGUUUGAUCGGUACCCUCUCAACGGGGAGAGAAUGUUACGCCAUGCGGCUUACCAUAGGUCAUAUUCUUAACUAUCGAUCGCGGUACUAUAAUGUCGCAGACAGAUCGUCGUGUCUGCCCGGCAAACAAACAUUGUAGUGGCAAGCGCAUGGUUCAUUAAGCAGGGCGACUUCCAGAAACGUCGACUCGUGGCCCGUAUUUUACCUCGCAGUAAAAGAAUGUGGCGUGAUCCGAACGUAGUGGGGGUCGCCUUCCAGAAAAAACGAAAAAAAUCGAAAGGCGUUCAGAACUUUUCGAGAAGUCGAACCGUCAACACAUGUGGGCAAUCCGGUGGACUUGAUCGGCUUUUUACUUCGAAAGUUGAGUAAUCGGUGUCGCUUUCUUACGCAUCUUUGAACUGUAUAAAUGUUUUAAAAUUGUUUGAUCCAGAAUGUACCACACCGGACAAUCAAGAAGGCAGGUGCCUUGACUACAGAAAAUGUAAACCUCUGCAAGAAAUAUGGCAGAUACAGUACCGUACAGCCACCGAUUUUUAUAGACGAUCAGUGUGCAGAUACCAGGGCAAUGUUACGAUCGUUUGCUGUCCGAACGAUCCAAACAAAGAGAAGAGAGAAAUUUUAAUAAAAACUGUGUAUAAGUAUAAGGCUUUGCGACCACCAUACUGUGGUUUUAGCAACGUCUCUCAUACCAGGGUGGUCGAUGGUAAACCAGCUGAACUUGGUACGUUUUAUGUCUUUCUUUCCGAUUAAUAAUAAGCCAUUUACUGCAAAGAAUGAACUUUAAAGGCAUUAAACAGCACAUCAAUGAAGAGUAUCUUUUUGCUUGAAAUAAAAAAUUGAUAUAGGAGUAAUAAUAUGGAUAGAGAUCAAAAACUGUUAGGGCAGAAAUUACACGUUUGAACUUUAUAGUUCAGUAUAGUUCAAAUAGAAAUUAUAUAGAAUUAUUUAAUAAUUUGUAUUCCACUGGAAUAAAAAUUUAAUUUCUGUCUUUAUCAAAUCUCUAUUUCAGAGUAUUUGUACGUAUGUACUUAUCGUCUGCUGUAUGAUCGAAUAUCGAAUAGGUAAUAAUCGUUGUUACUCAUUAUGUGAGAAAAAAUUAUGUAUAUUCACAACUAUGACUAUUGCAUUUUAGGCGCUUGGCCAUGGAUCGCUGCAUUAGGUUUUCGUAAUCCCCGAAACCCAGACAAACCACUAUGGAAGUGCGGAGGUUCCAUGAUAUCGGCUAGGCAUGUUUUGACCGCAGCACAUUGUGCACAUAUGGAUGGAAUAGAAAACAUACACAAUCAUAAUAUUGCCAUUCUUAGAUUGGUGGAGGAGGUGCCAUUUUUGAGGUACGUAUAUCCCAUUUGUACGAAAGAGCCCCUACGAAAGAGCAACUUCGUCGGCUAUAACCCCCUUGUUGCUGGAUGGGGAGCAUUAAGAUAUAGAUGACCACGACGUAAUGCAUUAAUGGAAGUACAAAUGCCAGUGAUUAAGAACGCCGAAUGCAAAAUAGCUUAUUCCAAAUUUCCUAAUGCACCUGAUAUCACUGAUGGUAUAAUAUGCGCCGAACAUGCUCAGGGUGGAGAGGAUUCUUGUACGGCUGACCGCUGCGGACCACUGCUGAUACAACAUGAAUUAACCUCGUAUUUAAUAGGUAUUGUGUCUUAUGCUUAUAAGUGCGGCACAGCUGGGUAUCCCAGCGUUUACACUAGGGUCACAUCGUACCUUGACUUCAUUCUCCAAGCGAUGCAAUAAUAUGAUAUUACUGUUCCAUAAAUAUCUUUGUGUAAAAAACGUAAAGUUAGAUUUUCUUAUUGUGGAGAUAAGAAACAGCUCAAAUUUACAUUGUUUUGUACGUUACAAAUUAUAGGCUUAAAAUGUACGAAAUGUAACUUUGAAACGACACUAAUUUUUUACGCACGAUAAACCUCCACGACUUAGGUAUGUAAAGAUGAUAAACGUAUAUUAAUUCUAUUAAUUUGGUAAUAAUAAACCAACUUUCUGAGAAGUUCUGUAAAUUUCGUUUCUGUUGUAUCAAGAGAAUAAUGGAAUAUUCCACUUAGAUCGUAUACUUCUUGUAUGUACAUACAAAAUUUUCCGGCUAAUCUAAAACACUUCAUAAGAUAGAGAGCUUCUAGAAAUUCGGACACAGAGAGUGCAUAAAAUACAAGAUAAGUCUCGUGUCUUUCAAAAUUAUUUUUUAUUCGCUAAAAACGUCCUGUGUACUCAUGCAAUCACAUGCAACCUCGAAACUUAACUUAUUUUUUAUCACUUUCCAAUUCAAUACACUGUUUCUGCAUUUUUGACUAUAUGUAAGAGAAAUUUCCAUUCAGCCAAAGGUAUACUUACAAAUUACAGAUUCCUACACGACUCUCAUUAAAAAUUUAUCCGCACUCCAGAUAGUUAAAACUUCUGUCGACCGUAUUGAUCCAUCUGCACUCUUCGUAUGACGUCAAUAUCUGUUCAGUGCUGCUGCGUAGGUUUCAUUGUGUUACGUCAAUUCGUUUGUGACCGUUGCGCGAGUAAUGGCGCUUUGCAAUGGUGAUUUGCAGGAAAACAGUGCAAGAUGCUGUGAUUCGUUUCUUGUGGUCGGAGGUUAUGUUUGAUGCCUAUAUUUAUCAAAGAUUUAAUGCACAUUAUGGAGAAAGUGUUUUGUCACGAAGUGUGUUUGAAUGGGCACAAAAGUUCAAAGAAGAUCGCACAAGUGUUAUGAAAAAACAGCUGGACGCCCGUCCACAUCCACGAUGACAACAUUGAACGUGCUCAUGAACUUAUGCUCUAUGGAAUAGACGAGUGACACUGGAUAAUGUGGCAAAUCAUUUGCAAAUCAGCCACGGCUCUGCUUAUGCAAUAGUGCACGACAGAUUUGGAUUUUAAAAAGUUUGUGCGAGAUGGAUGCCGAAAAAGCUGAUGAAAAGGUGAAGACGACGAUGCAUUCGUGGUUCGCAGCUCAGCCCAAAACAUUUUUUAAUGAGAAAAUACGAAGGUCCUUCGGCAAAUGGACAAAGUGUAUACAGAAAUCGAGUGAUUAUGUCAAAAAAUGAUGUAUGUCUUUUUUGACAAUUGCUUAAAAUAAAUUCUACACCGACAGAGCGGGUAACUUUUUACUCACCCUCGUAAGACACUUAAAUUUCCAAUCUAUUAUGAUGAAUAAAAGAGCUUAUACUAUUAAAUCUAAUUGUAUUUUGUUGCAUGAGAGUACACGUGUAUGUGAUGUACAUUACCUUUAUAUCCCCUUGAACGCUUCAAUAUUGCGCAUAUAUACUAUAUUUUGUACAGCUUCUAUAAAAUUUUGUAUGUUUGUUUAGGCUGUUAAUCUAGAGGCUGGAGUACAAAGAAGUGGCACAAUGAUGUGGGCUGAUGACAUUUAUAAUUAUCAAGGAAUCACCCCUACAUUCGCUCAGAAUUUUAAUGAAACUGUCCCUUGGGAAGGAAGAACUGAUACCUUGAUAUCACAGUUUGUACAUCCUAUAUAUACGACAAAUUUUAGAACAUUAUAUAACGAAGAACCAGAUCGUCGUGGCCAUGUGAUGUGAAUAAAAGGACUUGAAUUUGAUGAUAUUUUUAUAAUGUUAGAUAACAUAACUAAGUAUCUUCACAGUAAGAUAGGAUGACAUGGUUUACAUGAUCUUAAUGUUGUUCACUUGAGUGAUGAUAUUAUAAGGAAAAGCGUAAUAUCACAGGAUAUUUAUGUUUAGUAACCAGUAAUUCAGAGAUUGGUAUUCAUGGUUACUAUAACGAGGCUGUAGAAACGCACCCUUUCUUCUUUGCAAAUGGUCCUGUAUUUAUGUCUAAGCCGAAACUGGAACCUCUGAAUAAUUUAGAUUUAUUCUUGUUAUUUUCUAAAAUACUUAUCUACAGUAUACCAUAAGGAAUGAUACUGUAUCGCACCUAAUCAAGUGCCUUAAGAAACAUCAACAGGAUAUCACAGUAAUCCCUUAUCGACUGAUAUUUGUAGCCACUACAAUAUCUAUGACACUGGUAGUAAUUAUAAGAACAAUAAUGAUGUUCUAUAAGAGGAAAUGAUGAUUAGGAACAAAAACUUACAGGAGAUAUCAUGCGGUGGAUGGAUAAUAUGUAAAAAAUAUUAAGCAGUAUAUGAAUUUUCAUAUUGCGUAGAGAUAACAAAAUGAAUUUUAAAAAAUGUCGACAUGGUAAUAAGAAAUAGCAUCAUGACAAAGAAUAUAUAAAGACAGUUUCAUUUUUUAUAAAUAAAAAUUUGUUGUUCCAGAUUUUGAAAUACAGUGAAACGUUUAAUUAGUAUCUUAAUAUCUUUAAAUAAUUAUUAUUUUAGAAUCAAUUGUAAUUGUAUCAUACGUACUUUUGAAUUCGUGCAAGAACAUAUGUAAUUUUGAAGUAGUUAUUAUUAGGAAAUUGUUAGACGCGAACAGUAUGCGAAAAGUUAGUAUGCAGUGUAAUAAUUAUCAAUCAAAACACAAGAAUUAAAUUCUUGAGGAAAAAAUUUCCGGAAUUUCUUAUUUACAUGAUUAUAAAAAAAUCCAUAAUAAAAAGGAGCUGCUUUCUAAUACUUCUCUUCCUUGUAAUGCCUACGUUAACAAUAACGAGGUUCGACUUUUUGUUUUUAGAGGGAUACUGGAAAAUUUGAAAGUACAGUACCAUUGGGAAGAAAAUCACGAUAUUGAAAACGAUAUUUGCAAGUAAAUUUCCAAAAAAUCUGUUUUCAAAUUUUCGCUUUCUAUUUCACAUUAAAAGAAAGGGAGGUCUGCCUUCUUUUUCUGCAAGACAAAACAAACAUUCUGAAUCUCGUAUCAAUGAAUGAUGUCAAUAAGUUAUUUUUCUUUUCAGAUUGAACAAUAUUCCAGAUUUAUUCAUAAUUUCAUACUACGCGAAGAAUAGACUUUCAUAGGUAUAUAAAGGAAAUAUUAAGUAUAGGAAAACUCUUUUUCGUUGUAGGUGACAUAUGCUUCACAGUUGAACACAUGUAUUUUUGAACACAUAUAAAUGAAAAAGUACUCUUAUGGAGAAAAAGAAUUGAUACCUUCGAUUGACAUUAGAUAAUGUUUAUAAACUUAUGAACAAUCACUAUCAGUUUGUAUUUUAGGUGCACACGCAGAUUUGUUGGAGUUCUUAUAAAAUGUACUUCCUGUACGAACGUUUUAUUCUUCCAAAUUUUACGAUACUAUGUCUCAUAUAAUAACUAUAUGGAUUAAACGUAAUAUAAAUAAUCCGAAAAUAGACUCGAACGACAUUAAUUGUCUUUCUAUUUAUACCAAUAUGGAAAAUACAAGUAAAGCUGGAGCAAUAGUAUGCAAGAAUGGACUAUUUAUUAUUUUAAACCAAAUCAUAGCAUAUUCAGAAUGCACAGUAUUAUCAUGAAAUGUAAAUGAAUCAGUUGUAAACGAACGAUUUUACUGUAAAAUCAUUGCCUCUUUUUUUUCAUCUGAAAUAUAGCAGCAAUGAGUACAUUCUUUUAAUAUAUAAUAAAACGAGAUAUCUUUAUAAAGUUACAUAUGUCAUCACUGGUAACUGUUAUCUCGUAUGACAUCAAAUAUACCGUUAGUAUGGAAUGAUAUUUUUAUGAAGAUAUACUUUAAUGAUAGAUUUUAUGAAUGAAACGUUAUAUAAGAAAAAUUAUCUCUUGUUAUUCUAUGAAGUGUAGUAGCUAAUGAAGAUUAAUUUUACGAAGUAUUAGAGCAAAAGAGAAUUAAAAAAUUAAAAAGAUCUAAAUAAGAUUGUUCGUGUGGCUUAAUUAUCUCAAUUCUGGUACACCACUUGUUACAUUCUAACUAAUUAGCGCUAAACAAUAACUUGCAAAUAUUAAAGAUAUUAACACCUAAAGGUUUUCAGGAAAUUUUAUAAUAUUUGAUUAUUGUAUAUCUAGUCAUUGAUUGAUAAAAUUUCUUGUAUAAGCAUAGAUCGAGGUUGACGUCAUACGCAGAUUGCAUAUCAUUGACAGGUAUCGUUUUAAUUUAUUUUAUGGUUAGAAUAGUUUGAAUAUUAUACGAAUAAUUAUUUCCAUUCGAACGAUUAAUAAAUCACGUACCUAUAAAAGAUAUAUUACGAAAAAGACGUGACGAAACAAAAAAAUAUUGGAAAUUCCGUUGUCAUUAGAUCAAUUAUUUUUGCAAUGAUUUUUAUUUCCAUGUAAUUACAUAUGAAAUGGCUAAUUCAUUAACAUCUCCUCGAAUCGAAUAUAAUUCGUUACACUUCACAACGAUUCAAAUAAUGGACGGGAAAUAUAUAAUAACUUUCCUGUCCUUGCGUUAAAACAGUACUGUACAAAUCAGAUGAUACAACCUAACCCUAACCUAACCCCAAAAAACCCAAUUACAUCCACAUUGCAUGACAGCACACUUGCAAUGGAUUUUUGUGAUUUCAAUGUCACAGACAAUGACACAACUAAUCAGAACACGUUCGAGGCUAUAGACAUUGAAAUUACCGCGUGUUUAAUACGUUUAAAGCAUAAAUCUAAAUUUCACGCGAUUAUUUCUUUGUACAUUGUGAAACUCUUAAAUUAUCUUAAUCGAAUAAAUAAUCCUAAUGUAAUAAAACAUCUUGAAAUAGACCUAGAUAUCUGAAACAGAAACUCGAAGGAUAAGAAAUCCUAAAAGGUACUAAUCCUAAAAUAACAAACUCCUAAAUAAUAAACAAGUGAUAAAACCUGUUAUAAAUAAUAAACCUUACCUGGAAUAAUCAAAUCCUAACUAAUCGAAAAUAAAAUAAGGCAAGCAAUUCUUAAUCUUUCAAGUAAUUUUUCCGAAAACACAGAAAGAUAGAGAAAUUAAAAAGACGCAGCACAAAUUGCAGCACAAUGAAAGUUUCGGAGCGAUGAAUACGAUCGUAUUAAACUAAAUAAUUUUCAAAAGUGAAAUUACACUGAAACGUAUAUCGAUGAUAUUUGUCAUUUCUACGAUCUGUUUCGCUUGAUCGUGCUUCUUUUCUGAUGUAAAUUCAAUUUAUAAUACGAACUAAGUUUCCUUUAUUAUUAUUAGUCCUGCGUCUUUUUAAUUCGUCACUUCUUUUAUUUCAGAACAAUGACGGGCUCCAAGAUGCUGUUCGGAUGUUUGGCGUUAAUUGCUUUUCUGCAUCCAUUAGUUCACGUUUGUACUUCGAGUAGUACAGCUCAAGGUUUGUACUUCGAGUUGUCUUUUUCCAUGCACUUCAAAUUCCAAUACGAUCUGGUCACGUGGCCUUCGUACAAUUUCGAAAUUUUACCUGUUUGGUAAUCGUCAAUGAAAAAAGAAGUUAUGCGUGACCUCAACACAUUGAAACAAUUUUUAUGAUUUUUUAUUUGCCGGUUGGUCAGCAAGUUAAUGGAAAAAUUUCACUUAACUAUUCGCGUUAAUUUCUUCGGUUUAACUUUUGGGAAAUGCUUCGUUAGCUUCGGGAAUAUUCCAACGAUUCGUUUUACGUACAAAAUAAGCAUGAUAAAUAUUACAUCACGGUAAUGAAAACUAUUGGCGUAAUACCUAAGAUAAAGAUGCAGAGACAUUCUUAGAAUUUCUAAUGACACCUUUAUAGAUUUCUCGUUUAAUAUCGCUACUACAUUUGAAUCACUUUUACCUAACGGUGUCACAUAGUCUCGUUGGAAAUUUGUCAAAUUCCUUAAAAUGAUCACUGAAAAUUUUCCUAAAUUUCCAAGAAUUUAUUUAUCACGAGGUAAAGAAAAUGUGUAUUAGAAAGAUGAGAUCGAAGGUUUACCAUUUUUUCAAUUAUGGCGAACGCAAUAUGUAAUCAAUGAAAAUUUUAUAUUUUCACGUUGAAAGUUUCUUCAGAUAAUUAUUAUCCAGAUGAUGACUAACUCUUACGAAUUAAUGCGUGUCUGUAGGAUAAUCCGGUAGACUUGAUCCGCUUUUUAUAUCGAAAGUUGAACAAUCGGUGACGCGUUCUUAUACACCGAACCGCGAAAAGCAAAAUUUCAUAUGAUCUCACCAAUUUCGGAUGUCAGUCAAAUCAGUCAAAUCAGUCAAAUAAUAAGUUCGCGUUAAUAUACACGUUCGAUUUUUGAAAAGCUUGUUCAAUUUAAUAAGAGUCUUGGUAACAGGCUUAUGUUUUUAGACCUAAUUGGUUGUUUUCAUUUACAAGUACCUCGUGUUAAAGUACUCAUAAAAUGACAUUAAAAUCAGAAAACUAAUAACUGAAAGAUUAUCAUUUUUCCUCUGUGGUAGUUUACAUAUAACAUAAUGCAACUAACAUGUCACGAUUAAUGCAAAAUAAAUAAAUUACUAAUAUAGACAUUUUUUUAGUAAUUUGUAUAAUCGUGAAACGAAUUGGACUUUCUAAAGGCAAAUAUUAAAGGAAACAUGGAAUUGAUGCCAAAUCUAUCACAAAUAUUAUUUAUACUACUUAUUUGCGCAGUUUGAAGCGAAUCAAAUUGAUGAAGGUUUCUUUGUUACAUGUUAAUUUACAUUUUAAAAGACAUAACAGGCACGCUAAUUAGUUUGCUUAAGAUACUUUCGAGAUACCAAGUUAGACGCGUUUCCAUGAAAUCAUAUCAAUUUUACGAUGAUAUUUUUCUAUCAAGCAUGCAAUUAUAACCGUAUCGUUGAUUAGUGCAUACAAUUAUCCAUGUGCAUUCGUCUUUCCGAGUACCGCGCUUCAAUAUUGCUAAUUUCAAAUUCAUACAUUAAUCUUCGUAAAUGCUUGAAAAUGCUAUAUAACUGUAUCAGCUUCUGUUAAAAACAUUUUAUAGUAAAAUCUCUAUAAAUUUGUAAUAUUUUUUAGACAAUUUGAAUUCAUUAUAUUAUACAUCAUA